RNAcentral lists this ribosomal RNA (324 nucleotides) under uncultured eukaryote. RNAcentral's name for it is "partial 18S ribosomal RNA". It matches the Rfam family "Eukaryotic small subunit ribosomal RNA", at positions 1470 to 1796 of the family's 1831-position model. The record is from RNAcentral.
CCCUUAGAUGUCCUGGGCCGCACGCGCGCUACACUGAUGCAUUCAACGAGCACCCGCUGGGCCGAGAGGUCCGGCUAAUCUUUGAACGUGCAUCGUGCUGGGGAUAGAUGAUUGCAAUUAUUCAUCUUCAACGAGGAAUUCCUAGUAAACGCAAGUCAUCAGCUUGCAUUGAUUACGUCCCUGCCCUUUGUACACACCGCCCGUCGCACCUACCGAUUGAAUGGUCCGGUGAAAUUCUCGGACGCGGACUUGCGAUGUUAAUUCGGAGCUUGACUGUGAAAGUUAAUUAAACCUUACCAUUUAGAGGAAGGUGAAGUCGUAACA